RNAcentral lists this ribosomal RNA (460 nucleotides) under uncultured bacterium. RNAcentral describes it as "partial 16S ribosomal RNA". It matches the Rfam family "Bacterial small subunit ribosomal RNA", at positions 338 to 795 of the family's 1533-position model. The record is from RNAcentral.
CCUACGGGGGGCAGCAGUGAGGAAUAUUGGUCAAUGGACGAGAGUCUGAACCAGCCAAGUAGCGUGAAGGAUGACUGCCCUAUGGGUUGUAAACUUCUUUUAUAUGGGAAUAAAAUGUUCCACGUGUGGGAUUUUGUAUGUACCAUAUGAAUAAGGAUCGGCUAACUCCGUGCCAGCAGCCGCGGUAAUACGGAGGAUCCGAGCGUUAUCCGGAUUUAUUGGGUUUAAAGGGAGCGUAGGUGGAUUGUUAAGUCAGUUGUGAAAGUUUGCGGCUCAACUGUAAAAUUGCAGUUGAAACUGGCAGUCUUGAGUACAGUAGAGGUGGGCGGAAUUCGUGGUGUAGCGGUGAAAUGCUUAGAUAUCACGAAGAACUCCGAUUGCGAAGGCAGUUCACUGGACUGCAACUGACACUGAGGCUCGAAAGUGUGGGUAUCAAACAGGAUUAGAUACCCGAGUAGUC